UCCCUGAUGUGUGUGAUAAGAGAAACAGAAAAAACACAAAAAAAAAAACCUAUUAAGCUCCAACAAUGUAGCAUUCAGACUCCAUUUGGUUGUUGGAAGAAUGGAUUUCAGGCAUGAGGAUGGUUUGAAAUCUUAUCUUAUGCUUGACAUGAUGGGCAAAUACAGUUUUGUUCAAUGUUAGUCAUCUGGAGUUCAACAAAAUCUAGAAAGCUUACAUUUAAUUUAGCACAGAAAAAUCCAAACAACACAGAAAAAUAAAUAAAUAAGAACCCCAAUACUCAUUACUUUUUCUUGGUCACCCUGAUCAACCAAACUUGGAAAUGAGCUUGAGGCAGGAAGUAAACAAAGGUAAUUCUGUAUAAGACCUCAAGUGGUUACAUAACACACACAUACACAUGUGUGCGCACACACACAUACACAUGUGUGCGCACACACACAGAAAGCUGAGGAAGCAAGGUAACAUGGCAUUGUGAAUUCAUGCAAGAGUAAAAUUCUCACCAAACUGACAGUGUGCAAGACUAAGAACUAGAAUGAUCGGUUGCUAAAGGAGUAAAAAUUAC
RNAcentral lists this long non-coding RNA (560 nucleotides) under Vitis vinifera (wine grape). Its description in RNAcentral is "long non-coding RNA (VVIN_LNC004867)". The record is from RNAcentral. Lineage: Eukaryota; Viridiplantae; Streptophyta; Magnoliopsida; Vitales; Vitaceae.